Pseudomyrmex gracilis is the source of this 858-nucleotide long non-coding RNA. RefSeq lists it as uncharacterized. The transcript has 3 exons. NCBI's taxonomy places the organism in Eukaryota, Metazoa, Arthropoda, Insecta, Hymenoptera, Formicidae. The record is from RefSeq and is a predicted model, not a curated record.
CGCUAACUGCGUUCGUUCUCGAGAAAGAUGCGCGCAUUGUACACGAGUCUCGUGCUGGCGAUUCUCCUCGCGAAUCUCGUCGGAGGUUGGUCCUUUACGAACGUGGUGACGUCAAUUGAGAAUCUAAUUCGGCGACAAAUUAACUCCACCGUGGAAGUCUCGACCGUGAAUCCCAACGUUAAUACGUCGAGGGAUUCGGAGAUCACGAAGCAGAGUCAGAUAAUAUUCGUUCCACGAAGACGCAAAAUUUACUGCAAACAGGGCGAACAGGUCGAUCGUCGCGGCAAGUGCAGACUGGUGUGGUGAAUAAAAUCGAUAAACAAAUAAGCAAGAAUCUUCGUAGAGCUAGAAUUGAACGACUACCAUAUAUUCUUCUUUUUUCUUUCCUCCUCUCUCACGAAAGAAGAGUAUUCUCGAAUGGGGAGACACAGGAAAAUUGUUUCAAAGAAAGAGCCGGAAAUAAUUACGGGAGGAAAUAAUAGAUCUAUAUAAAAUACCAAUCAAUAAUAUAUAAGAUCUAUAGUCACACAUAAAAAACUUGUGGAUUUCCUUUGAAGCAAAAUGUCACGACCAGAUCUUGAUUUUAUUAUCUAUAAAUACCACUCUAUAUUUGUUAUCAAACACCUACAAUCUGCACUGAGAAAAAAAACCUGGUGAAUCGGAGAUUUUUUUUUUUUAUAGUUUUGAAUUAAGAAAAUCAAGUAGUUAAAAACUUGACUUUAAAUACAAUUUGACCGCGGAACAAACGCAUCUUGUUAUCAUCACUUUUUUCUCAGUAUGGAUUUAAUUGCGUUGUCAAAACAAAACUUUUAUAGUAUUAAAAUUAUACUUAAUUAGAGAUUAAUUGUAUUUUAUAAG